Molecule: ribosomal RNA, 518 nt
Filed under: uncultured bacterium
Lineage: Bacteria
Description: bacterial SSU rRNA
Rfam family: Bacterial small subunit ribosomal RNA
Source: RNAcentral
AGGACGAACGCUGGCGGCGUGCCUAAUACAUGCAAGUGGAACGCAUGAUUGAUACUGUAACUUGCUACACCAUUAAUCAUGAGUCGCGAACGGGUGAGUAACGCGUAGGUAACCUGCCUACUAGCGGGGGAUAACUAUUGGAAACGAUAGCUAAUACCGCAUAAGAGUUUUUAACACAUGUUAGAAAUUUAAAAGGAGCAAAUGCUUCACUAGUAGAUGGACCUGCGUUGUAUUAGCUAGUUGGUAAGGUAACGGCUUACCAAGGCGACGAUACAUAGCCGACCUGAGAGGGUGAUCGGCCACACUGGGACUGAGACACGGCCCAGACUCCUACGGGAGGCAGCAGUAGGGAAUCUUCGGCAAUGGGGGGAACCCUGACCGAGCAACGCCGCGUGAGUGAAGAAGGUUUUCGGAUCGUAAAGCUCUGUUGUAAGAGAAGAACGUUGAGUAGAGUGGAAAGUUACUCAAGUGACGGUAUCUUACCAGAAAGGGACGGCUAACUACGUGCCAGCCGCUGC